GACGAACGCUGGCGGCGUGCUUAACACAUGCAAGUCGAGCGGAAAGGCCCUUCGGGGUACUCGAGCGGCGAACGGGUGAGUAACACGUGAGUAACCUGCCCUUGGCUCUGGGAUAGCUCCGGGAAACCGGAAUUAAUACCGGAUAUGACCUCGGCCGACAUCGGCUGUGGUGGAAAGAUUUAUCGGCCAGGGAUGGGCUCGCGGCCUAUCAGCUAGUUGGUGGGGUAACGGCCUACCAAGGCGACGACGGGUAGCCGGCCUGAGAGGGCGACCGGCCACACUGGGACUGAGACACUGCCCAGACUCCUACGGGAGGCUGCAGUCGCGAAUCAUUCACAAUGGGCGCAAGCCUGAUGAUGCCACGCCGCGUGCGGGAUGAAGGCCCUUUGGGUUGUAAACCGCUGUCAAGGAAGGGGAAGUCGCCGUACGUGAAUAGCGUGCGGUCUGACUGCUUUC
RNAcentral lists this ribosomal RNA (456 nucleotides) under uncultured bacterium. Its description in RNAcentral is "bacterial SSU rRNA". It matches the Rfam family "Bacterial small subunit ribosomal RNA", at positions 28 to 480 of the family's 1533-position model. The record is from RNAcentral.